CAGCAGCCGCGGGAAUACGUAGGUGGCAAGCGUUGUCCGGAAUUAUUGGGCGUAAAGGGCUCGCAGGCGGUUUCUUAAGUCUGAUGUGAAAGCCCCCGGCUCAACCGGGGAGGGUCAUUGGAAACUGGGAAACUUGAGUGCAGAAGAGGAGAGUGGAAUUCCACGUGUAGCGGUGAAAUGCGUAGAGAUGUGGAGGAACACCAGUGGCGAAGGCGACUCUCUGGUCUGUAACUGACGCUGAGGAGCGAAAGCGUGGGGAGCGAACAGGAUUAGAGACCCCGGUAGUCCCUGUCUCUUAUAC
Molecule: ribosomal RNA, 301 nt
Filed under: uncultured bacterium
Lineage: Bacteria
Description: partial 16S ribosomal RNA
Rfam family: Bacterial small subunit ribosomal RNA
Source: RNAcentral